GGGCACGUGGCGGAAUUGGUAUACGCGUACGCUUCAGGUGCGUAUGGGGCAACCCUUGGAGGUUCAAGUCCUCUCGUGCCCA
Molecule: transfer RNA, 82 nt
Filed under: Candidatus Kaiserbacteria bacterium
Lineage: Bacteria; Candidatus Kaiseribacteriota
Also listed under: 1 other name
Description: tRNA-Leu
Rfam family: tRNA
About the family: Transfer RNA (tRNA) molecules are approximately 80 nucleotides in length. Their secondary structure includes four short double-helical elements and three loops (D, anti-codon, and T loops).
Source: RNAcentral